ACACCCUGUGCUAGAAAACUGGCUGAGAAACUGCACUAUGAACUUUGUUUCUAACAAUUCUGCUGCUGCGCUUUGACUGAUGUUCCACCAACAAAUCAGAUCAUAGUUUGUACUUCUAAUUGCAGCCACUGUAACAGUAUCUUUACGCAGUCUUUCCAUUCCAUCUCAAGAGUGUCCUCCUAGCCUCGCCUUUUUCCUAUUUAAUAUCUCCUGCACAACCUCUUCAGAAAUAAUUGGUAGUUUGAAAUGAGCUGAACUUAUGCUGCAAGGGGAGAUUCUGGAGCACAGAUAUCGUGGGUGGGAUUUCCACGCCCAGUCUGUGGAGACAGCACAUAACCUGGGUCAAAAAAGGCAAGAGGAAGAAAAGAGCCGUCUCCCUGAAUAUUGUGUCUUCAGUAAUACCAGACUGGACCCAUGCUGAUAACCAUCUUGCAACACAGAAGGCAACCUCUUAAUAAACACUAAAC
RNAcentral lists this long non-coding RNA (467 nucleotides) under Gallus gallus (chicken). Its description in RNAcentral is "lncRNA (ENSGALG00010001607.1)". Lineage: Eukaryota; Metazoa; Chordata; Aves; Galliformes; Phasianidae. The record is from RNAcentral.